This 96-nucleotide transfer RNA is filed under the name Nocardia seriolae. RNAcentral's name for it is "tRNA-Leu". The record is from RNAcentral. RNAcentral also lists the same sequence under 1 other name. Lineage: Bacteria; Bacillati; Actinomycetota; Actinomycetes; Mycobacteriales; Nocardiaceae.
GCGGUGCAGGUGCCACUGGCCGAGGUGGUGGGCGCCUCAGGGGUGCCCGCGGACCGGAUGCCGACGGCGGUGCGGUUCCCGCCCGAGGGCGCCGCG